Molecule: ribosomal RNA, 254 nt
Filed under: uncultured bacterium
Lineage: Bacteria
Description: partial 16S ribosomal RNA
Rfam family: Bacterial small subunit ribosomal RNA
Source: RNAcentral
UACGUAGGGUGCGAGCGUUAAUCGGAAUUACUGGGCGUAAAGCGUGCGCAGGCGGUUUUGUAAGCCAGAUGUGAAAGCCCCGGGCUUAACCUGGGAAUGGCAUUUGGGACUGCAAGGCUGGAGUGUGGCAGAGGAGACUGGAAUUCCUGGUGUAGCAGUGAAAUGCGUAGAUAUCAGGAGGAAUACCGAUGGCGAAGGCAGGUCUCUGGGCUGACACUGACGCUCAUGCACGAAAGCGUGGGGAGCAAACGAGG